This 813-nucleotide small RNA is filed under the name Pongo abelii (Sumatran orangutan). RNAcentral's name for it is "retained intron". The record is from RNAcentral. Lineage: Eukaryota; Metazoa; Chordata; Mammalia; Primates; Hominidae.
CGCUCUGACCAGCCCGCAGAGCCAGCCCCCGACCCCGGGCCACCCGGGCCCCCGGGUUCCGCUGGCAGUCUCGCCACCACCGCGUGGGUCUGACAAGAUGUACCAGGUCCCACUGCCACUGGAUCGGGAUGGGACCCUGGUACGGCUCCGCUUCACCAUGGUGGCCCUGGUCACGGUCUGCUGUCCACUUGUCGCCUUCCUCUUCUGCAUCCUCUGGUCCCUGCUCUUCCACUUCAAGGAGACAACGGCCACACACUGUGGGGCAGGUUCCAGUCUGCGGGGGAGAUGGAGAAGGUCCCACCAUGCUCCUGCACAAAUCUCAGGAUAGCUGGGGAAUGAGAAUCCAGCACUUUGGGCCUAGGACCUAGAAGGAGAGGUCUUUUGGGAGAGGUGCCCAAUUACCUGCCCUCGGUGAGCUCAGCCAUCGGUGGGGAGGUGCCCCAGCGCUACGUGUGGCGUUUCUGCAUCGGCCUGCACUCGGCGCCUCGCUUCUUGGUGGCCUUCGCCUACUGGAACCACUACCUCAGCUGUACCUCCCCGUGUUCCUGCUAUCGCCCGCUCUGCCGCCUCAACUUCGGCCUCAAUGUCGUGGAGAACCUCGCGUUGCUAGUGCUCACUUAUGUCUCCUCCUCUGAGGACUUCAGUGGGUGCCCGGAUGAGGGAGGAGUGGGGAAGGGUUCCCUGAGGGGACGGGCCUGCCCCUACCACUUUCGGACCUUCCUACUUAGUGGUGUGGGCACUCCCUGCAAUGUGGCUCCCAAUCCUCUUUCCCUCCAGCCGUCCAUGAAAAUGCUUUCAUUGUGUUCAUUGCCU